Molecule: ribosomal RNA, 253 nt
Filed under: uncultured bacterium
Lineage: Bacteria
Description: partial 16S ribosomal RNA
Rfam family: Bacterial small subunit ribosomal RNA
Source: RNAcentral
GACAGAGGGUGCGAACGUUGCUCGGAAUUACUGGGCGUAAAGGGCUCGUAGGCGGCCAACUAAGUCGGAUGUGAAAUCCCCAGGCUCAACUUGGGAACUGCAUCCGAUACUGGAUGGCUUGAAUCCGGGAGAGGGAUGCAGAAUUCCAGGUGUAGCGGUGAAAUGCGUAGAUAUCUGGAGGAAUACCGGUGGCGAAGGCGGCAUCCUGGACCGGCAUUGACGCUGAUGAGCGAAAGCUAGGGGAGCAAACGGG